RNAcentral lists this transfer RNA (72 nucleotides) under Planctomycetaceae bacterium. RNAcentral's name for it is "tRNA-Cys". It matches the Rfam family "tRNA". Rfam says of the family: Transfer RNA (tRNA) molecules are approximately 80 nucleotides in length. Their secondary structure includes four short double-helical elements and three loops (D, anti-codon, and T loops). Lineage: Bacteria; Pseudomonadati; Planctomycetota; Planctomycetia; Planctomycetales; Planctomycetaceae. The record is from RNAcentral.
GACGCUGGAGCCAGAUGGUUAGGCGGCUGCCUGCAAAGCAGUUUCAAGUGGGUUCGACUCCCACUGGCGUCU